AGUGAACGCUGGCGGUAGGCCUAACACAUGCAAGUCGAACGGCAGCACAGUAAGAGCUUGCUCUUACGGGUGGCGAGUGGCGGACGGGUGAGGAAUACAUCGGAAUCUACUUUUUCGUGGGGGAUAACGUAGGGAAACUUACGCUAAUACCGCAUACGACCUACGGGUGAAAGCAGGGGAUCUUCGGACCUUGCGCGAUUGAAUGAGCCGAUGUCGGAUUAGCUAGUUGGCGGGGUAAAGGCCCACCAAGGCGACGAUCCGUAGCUGGUCUGAGAGGAUGUUCAGCCACACUGGAACGAGGACCCGUUCCAAAGACCAAGGGAAGGCGGAAGUGGGAAAUAUUGGACAUUGGGCGCAAGCCGAUUCCAGCAAUACCGCGUGGUUGAAGAAGGCCUUCGGGUUGAAAAGCCCUUUUGUUGGGAAAGAAAGGCGGCAGUUUAAUACCCCGCUGUUCUGACGGAACCCAAGAAUAAGCACCGGCUAACUUCGUG
Molecule: ribosomal RNA, 491 nt
Filed under: uncultured bacterium
Lineage: Bacteria
Description: partial 16S ribosomal RNA
Rfam family: Bacterial small subunit ribosomal RNA
Source: RNAcentral